CACGUAGGCGGAUAUUUAAGUCAGGGGUGAAAUCCCAGAGCUCAACUCUGGAACUGCCUUUGAUACUGGGUAUCUUGAGUAUGGAAGAGGUAGGUGGAAUUCCGAGUGUAGAGGUGAAAUUCGUAGAUAUUCGGAGGAACGCCAGUGGCGAAGGCGGCUUACUGGUCCAUUACUGACGCUGAGGUGCGAAAGCGUGGGGAGCAAACA
This 207-nucleotide ribosomal RNA is filed under the name uncultured bacterium. RNAcentral's name for it is "partial 16S ribosomal RNA". It matches the Rfam family "Bacterial small subunit ribosomal RNA", at positions 568 to 774 of the family's 1533-position model. The record is from RNAcentral.